CUGCCGAUGACCGAGCACAAAUUAGGGUCUAGCGAUAAGAGGUAUGUUUCUAUAUCUUAUAUUAUGAUAUUAAUGCAUAUUAUAUGGUUUAAAUUCUGAUAAGGUGAUCUUGGAGUUAGAUUUUGGUUUUAUGAUUUCAUAAUAAUUGCUUUGAAAUCUGUGUUUCCGCCUUGACAUCAAACCCUACAAAACCGCCGCUCUAUAUGCUUAGACUUUUGGUGAGAUCUGAACUCCUUAGCGAAGGCUAUGG
Molecule: long non-coding RNA, 250 nt
Filed under: Elaeis guineensis (African oil palm)
Lineage: Eukaryota; Viridiplantae; Streptophyta; Magnoliopsida; Arecales; Arecaceae
Description: long non-coding RNA (EGUI_LNC072482)
Source: RNAcentral